RNAcentral lists this ribosomal RNA (500 nucleotides) under uncultured bacterium. RNAcentral's name for it is "partial 16S ribosomal RNA". It matches the Rfam family "Bacterial small subunit ribosomal RNA", at positions 30 to 523 of the family's 1533-position model. The record is from RNAcentral.
AUUGAACGCUGGCGGAAUGCUUUACACAUGCAAGUCGAACGGCAGCACGGACUUCGGUCUGGUGGCGAGUGGCGAACGGGUGAGUAAUGUAUCGGAAAGUGCCCAGUCGUGGGGGAUAACGUAGUGAAAAUUACGCUAAUACCGUAUACGAUCUAUGGAUGAAAGCGGGGGAUCGCAAGACCUCGCGCGAGUGGAGCGGCCGAUAUCAGAUUAGGUAGUUGGGGGGGUAAAGGCCCACCAAGCCGACGAUCUGUAGCUGGUCUGAGAGGACGACCAGCCACACCGGAACUGAGACACGGUCCAGACUCCUACGGGAGGCAGCAGUGGGGAAUUUUGGACAAUGGGCGAAAGCCUGAUCCAGCCAUUCCGCGUGCAGGAUGAAGGCCCUCGGGUUGUAAACUGCUUUUGUACAGAACGAAAAGGUUUCUACUAAUACUAGGAGCUCAUGACGGUACUGUAAGAAUAAGCACCGGCUAACUACGUGCCAGCAGCCGCAGUAA